This 454-nucleotide ribosomal RNA is filed under the name uncultured bacterium. RNAcentral's name for it is "bacterial SSU rRNA". It matches the Rfam family "Bacterial small subunit ribosomal RNA", at positions 335 to 799 of the family's 1533-position model. The record is from RNAcentral.
ACUCCUACGAGGCAGCAGUGGGGAAUAUUGCACAAUGGGCGCAAGCCUGAUGCAGCAACGCCGCGUGAGCGAUGAAGGCCUUCGGGUCGUAAAGCUCUGUCCUCAAGGAAGAAUAAAUGACGGUACUUGAGGAGGAAGCCCCGGCUAACUACGUGCCAGCAGCCGCGGUAAUACGUAGGGGGCAAGCGUUAUCCGGAAUCACUGGGCGUAAAGGGUGCGUAGGCGGUUUUUCAAGUCAGAAGUGAAAAGGGCUAAUGGCUCAACCAUAGUAAGCUUUUGAAACUGUUAAACUUGAGUGCAGGAGAGGAAAGUGGAAUUCCUAGUGUAGAGGUGAAAAUUCGUAGAUAUUAAGGAGGAACACCAGUGGCGAAAGGCGACUUUCUGGACUGUAACUGACGCUGAAGGCACGAAAGCGUGGGGAGCGAACAGGAUUAGAUACCCUGGUAGCACAGAG